This 253-nucleotide ribosomal RNA is filed under the name uncultured bacterium. RNAcentral's name for it is "partial 16S ribosomal RNA". It matches the Rfam family "Bacterial small subunit ribosomal RNA", at positions 524 to 776 of the family's 1533-position model. The record is from RNAcentral.
UACGUAGGGGGCAAGCGUUGUCCGGAAUCAUUGGGCGUAAAGAGCGUGUAGGCGGCUUGGCAAGUCUGGUGUGAAAUCUUGCGGCUCAACCGCAAGCGGUCACUGGAAACUGCCUCGCUAGAGUCCGGAAGAGGAGAGCGGGAUUCCUGGUGUAGCGGUGAAAUGCGCAGAUAUCAGGAGGAACACCGGUGGCGAAGGCGGAUCUCUGGGCCUUACCUGACGCUCAGGUGCGAAAGCUAGGGGAGCGAACAGG